GAGUGCGGAGAUAAAGACGUGCCGGUUUAGUAUAAAUAUCUGAGAGCAUGAGGAAAGAGCGCAUCAUUUCAUGAGCGGCACUGAAGAAGAGACACAGGGAGCCAAAAGGAGGAGAGAGGGAAUACAAAAAGCAACAAGAAGCUGAAUGAAAGCAAAAGGAACAGAGAGCGAAGGGAGGAAAUAAAAUACAGCAAAGGAAGGUUUUUAUAUUACAUAGUGGAAAUAGAAAUGGCAAACGCAGCAGGAGGAGUGUUUUUGGCUUCACUGUUGUUCCUGAGUGCCAGUGUACCAUGUUUGUCUGUGCAUAAUAGUGGCGAGUGCUUCUUCAACACUAAAGGGAGCUGUGAACACAUGGGACAGGUGUAUGGGAUAGGCGAGAGCUGGAUAACUAGUGACUGUUAUCAGUGUGUCUGCAUGGAGCCUUUUGGAGUAGGAUGCUGUGACCAUGGGUCGAAACCUGUGGAUUAUCCAGACUGGUGUGAGAUCAUCCGUAAACCUGAUUCUUGUACGACUGUUGCAGUGAUGAGAGCCAAUCAUAAGCUACCCUGCCUCUGGGGACGAGGCCGUGUCAAACCAGCCGCAGGACAACCAUGGAAUCCUGACAAUGAUUUUAUAUUUUGAGUUUCGCAAUUAAUGAAAAAAAAAUAGCAAUAUAACAAUAUGUGAUGUUUAUUUUUGA
Larimichthys crocea (large yellow croaker) is the source of this 679-nucleotide RNA transcript. RefSeq lists it as uncharacterized. The transcript is spliced from 4 exons. The record is from RefSeq and is a predicted model, not a curated record. NCBI's taxonomy places the organism in Eukaryota, Metazoa, Chordata, Actinopteri, Sciaenidae.